AUAUCAUGUAGCGCAUUUGCAUAUUAUAAAAUACAUAGGUAUACGUCGAACUAAACUCACGAACAGUUCUAAAGUUUGAAUAGUCACGAUGAUGGUUAUAUAAAUAUCGACUACUUACAUACAAUAAGCAAAGUGAAUUAGUAUUAAAGUAGUCGCAAAUUCGCAAAGCAACAUGUAUCAAGGUCCUAAGCUCUCUUUCAUACUACUUUCAAUUCUUGUAGUGACAGGUUGGCUUCUGUUGCCUGCUGAAGCGUAUAUAAUCGAUGCGCCCCUUAGAAAAAAAGGGAGAAGAUAAAGAAGGAGAUGCAAACUCGUCAUAAUGCGUAAUAAAUUUCAGUCAGCAUGGACAAGCGUUAACACAAAAUAAAGAACACAUUUGUAAAACAUACACCUUUUCUUUCCUGUGUUAAUUCACAUACAUUGUUAUCAAUAUAACGUUCUCAACAAAAUUGCGAUUCAUGCUAACACGUUUCCAUCAAGUAUUCGCUAAGCUUCAUUUGCUUAUCGUCGUUUACAAUUUGUGGAAGUCAUACAUUAUAAGGACGAAGUAAACGCCGUGAUAUAACACCGUAAAUAACAUUACUUUAGUACUCCUAAUCUUAUC
This is a long non-coding RNA of Hylaeus anthracinus, 604 nucleotides long. RefSeq lists it as uncharacterized. The transcript has 4 exons. The record is from RefSeq and is a predicted model, not a curated record. NCBI's taxonomy places the organism in Eukaryota, Metazoa, Arthropoda, Insecta, Hymenoptera, Colletidae.